ACAUACCAUGUAUCAAUUUACCUGACUGUUGAUGGAAGAGCUACACAUGUCGCCUUGGCAUGGUCAGUCCCGUCACUGCUGUAAUGUUGUGGCAUAGAUACUGGCUCAGUCGGUGUAUGAAGGACUCAGGAAGAGGAGCACUCUAAAAUCAUAAAUCGUAGUUUUACUCAAGCUGUGAAAUGUGAACUCUGAACCUCUUCAUCUUCAUGCAUGGUCAAGGAGUGACAAUCGUUCCACAAGUGCACCAUUACAGGCCUUUGUAGCUGCAGAUUUUAGGCACCUUUACCAACUGGGGUCUUGUCGAUUCUAUUGGCUCGCCCAAUGAGGAGUGAGGAGCAAUCUUUGAUGAUUUUGUUAUGAUGCAACUUUAUUCAAAUAUGAUUUUAUUUGGUCGAAUUGCAACUCGACCGAAAAUUCCAUGAUGCAAUGCAAAUUGAAUAUUUUGAGAGAUUUGUGUAGAUUAGUAUAAAUAUUGUAAACUUUACUUGCAGUAUGUAAGAUUUUAGUCAAUCUAUCAGUAUUUUUGUUUGGAGAUUUUACAAAGGUUGUAACUUUCUGUCUAUGAUAUUGGAAUUUUUCGUUCA
This is a long non-coding RNA of Hevea brasiliensis (rubber tree), 584 nucleotides long. RefSeq lists it as uncharacterized. The transcript is spliced from 2 exons. NCBI's taxonomy places the organism in Eukaryota, Viridiplantae, Streptophyta, Magnoliopsida, Malpighiales, Euphorbiaceae. The record is from RefSeq and is a predicted model, not a curated record.